AACGAACGCUGGCGGCGUGGAUAAGACAUGCAAGUCGGACGCUGAUUGCCGGGUAGCAAUAUUCGGCGGUCGGAGUGGCGAAAGGGUGCGUAACACGUGGGCAAUCUGCCGUGAAGUCGGGGAUAACUUGCUGAAAGGCGAGCUAAUACCGGAUGUGGUUUUGGGAGGGCAUCUUUCUGGAACCAAAGUUGGGGACCGCAAGGCCUGACGCUUCAUGAUGAGCCCGCGGCCUAUCAGCUAGUUGGUGAGGUAAUGGCUCACCAAGGCAAAGACGGGUAGCUGGUCUGAGAGGACGACCAGCCACACUGGAACUGAGACACGGUCCAGACACCUACGGGUGGCAGCAGUCGAGAAUUUUUCACAAUGGGCGAAAGCCUGAUGGAGCGACGCCGCGUGGGGGAUGAAUGGCUUCGGCCCGUAACCCCCUGUCAUUUGCGAACAAACCUUUCCACCCAACCACGUGGAGAGCUGAUUGUAGCGAAAGAGGAAGGGACGG
Molecule: ribosomal RNA, 496 nt
Filed under: uncultured bacterium
Lineage: Bacteria
Description: bacterial SSU rRNA
Rfam family: Bacterial small subunit ribosomal RNA
Source: RNAcentral